Molecule: ribosomal RNA, 440 nt
Filed under: uncultured fungus
Lineage: Eukaryota; Fungi
Description: eukaryotic LSU rRNA
Rfam family: 5.8S ribosomal RNA (bases 125-276)
Source: RNAcentral
CAUUACUGAAUGGCCGUCUGGCCUUCAACCUUGUAAACCUGUGGAAGCAAGAUGUGCUUCGGCGCUUCGGCGUCGCUUUUAUGCUUAAAUCAGUCUUUGUGUCUGAAUCAAAUACAAGAAAUAAAACUUUCAACAAAGGAUCUCUUGGCUCUCGCAUCGAUGAAGAACGCAGCGAAGCGCGAAAUGUAGUGUGAAUCGCAGAACAUUGUGAAUCAUCGAAUCUUUGAACGCACAUUGCGCCUCUAGUAACUUGGAGGCAUGCCUGUCUGAGCGUCAUUUAAAACCAUAAACUCAACUGGGUUUGUAUUGGGCAUCGCCUCUGGGCGUAGCUUGAAAGUCAUUGGUCUUAUACGCGGACGAGUUCCAUUAGGACAGGCCGUGUCUGGACUUUAAAUCUCUGACUUGACCUCAGAUCAGGUAGGACUACCGCCUGAACUUAA